Molecule: long non-coding RNA, 1396 nt
Organism: Monomorium pharaonis (pharaoh ant)
Lineage: Eukaryota; Metazoa; Arthropoda; Insecta; Hymenoptera; Formicidae
Exons: 2
Source: RefSeq, a predicted model, not a curated record
AACAUUGUUUAAGUAGUAAAUCCACGAGUGUUCGGAGUUUCGGAGACGUUUUGACAUAUGCGCGCGCCAAAAUAAUAAAUAUUAAGUUAAAUUGUAACAUGUAAUUGAAAUUAAUGUUAAAAAAUUACAAUUGAAUAUUAAGUACAUAGAGAUGAACAAGAAAAAAAAUGUUUUAUAUAUUUAUAUGUAAGAGAAGAAAUUUUAAUAAAAUAUAUUAAUAUAUUAAACUAUACUAAAUUAUAUUUUUAUUAUAUUAAAUUAAUUAGUAAUAAUAAUUUUCAAUUUCUUUGAUGUGCCUUGACAGACAAGAUUUAUGAUUAAAAUUUGGUUUUCCAUAUUAAAAUCAUUGUCAGCCGAGAAACAAAAUCUGUGCAAAAUAAAAUAAAAACAUAAAGAAGGAAGAGGGAAAGAAAUAAAUGGAGAAUAAAAAUAUAUAUCAGAUAAGUAGCUAAUAUCUUUAUAAAAAAUUAUGUAUUCUAUGUGCUUUUUGUAGAUGAACCGAUUCUUUUCUUGAAUUAAUUUUUUGUUUCAGCUUCUUAGCCAAUCGUAGAAUGUUGACAGCUGGACCACCAGAGAACAAUUUCUUGCCGAAUAAAGCUGUCAAAUUCUAAGCCUGCUACUUCUUCGAGUAUGUCAAAAUUGUGAGCAAAAAAGUUGAAAUUAUAUUGUAAUAUCAAUUAGAUUUAUCAACGGUGCAGUAACAGAUUGAUACAACAAACUGAGAGCAGCAAACAGAAAAUGUGCUACCCACAUUGGCUUUUACAAGAAUGGGUUUAGAAGUAGCGAUGGAUGCUUGUCCAACAAUCGAGGAUCAUUUCAUAAGUGAAUACACUAUUUGAUGUAAAAUAAACCAAAAUUAUCUUUUUAAAAACGGCAAAAAAGAUGCCAAGUGUGUAUGCUCUAGAAAACACCUCUUAAAUCUAAGAUACUCUUCAUCUAAUUCAACCCAAGUAAUAUCACGAGCCUUCUUAUACCAACUAAAAUGUAACUUUAAUUAUUAAACUAAUAAUUAUUUUAAAUGAAUUAUACUCACAAACACACACACACACACACACACACACAUAUUAACUACAAAAAUAAUGAUAUCAAAAUAUUUCUUUAACGAUAAUUUGUUUUACUCCAAAUAGUAUAUGUUUACUUACGAAAUGAUAUUUGAUGUUACAAUGUGAUUUCAACUUUUUUGCUUACAAUUUUGGCAUACUCGAGGAAGUAGCAGGUUUAGAAUUUGACAGCUUUACUCGGCAAGGAAUUGUUCUCUGAUGGUCCAGCUGUCAACAUUCUACAAUUAGCAAAGAAGCUGAAACAAAAAAUUAAUUCAAGAAAAGAAUCGGUUCAUCUACAAAAAGCACAUAUAGAAUACAUAAUUUCUUAUAAAGAUAUUAACUACUUAUCUGAU